GCCAAUUUUCGAAUAAAGUCUUUGCUCACUCUCUUAGAAAACCCAUUUUCAUUUUGUUCAACCAUCCUCCAAACAAAAUGAGAACUCUUAGAAUAUUCUCUCUCUCGGAGCUCAUCUCAUCUCCGACGAUAGGUUGAGGCGCGGUGGUCGGCGAUCCUAUCCCCGACGACGACUAGCCGUUGAUAGUCAGAGCCCUCUCCUCCGCCCCUUUGUCCGAUUACAGGUCUCUCUCUCUCUGUUUGUUUCCCGAGAAAAAAAAAAUGAAUUUGGAAAUUACCUAGUAGAACUUUGCAAAGAAUUUUUGGUAUUCUCUCUUGUUUUCUCUCUCUCAUUCUCUCCAUUAAUAUUUCUCUUCCUUGCCAAUAAUGUAAUUUGGGGCUAGGGCUUGGGUACUUUGGAAAUGGAAUUACAUACCUGUCCUUUGGAAUCUGAAGUAUGGGUUGGAUGUAUGAGGUUUGAACAUAUUAUCUGAACUACCUGUUCUUUAUAGUUCGAGUUGAAAAUGACUUUCUCGGAAAAGACGAUUCUGGUUACCGAAGGAGCCGGUUUCAUUGGCUCUCACACUGUGGUUCAGCUUCUCAAUGAAGGCUUUAGGGUUUCGAUCAUCGACAAUCUUGAUAAUUUCGUCACCGAAGCUGUUGAUAGGGUUCGUGAUUUGUUCGGCCCUAAGCGUUCUCAGAAUCUUAAAUUCCACCUGGGUGACCUUAGGAAUAAGGACUUGGAGAAGCUCUUUUCUCAAACACAAUUUGAUGCUUUGAACCAUUUUGCUGGCCUAAAAGCUGUUGGUGAGAGUGUUGCAAACCCUCGCCAUUAUUUUGAUUGGCACUAUUAAUCUUUAUGAGGUUAUGGCAAAAUAUGAUUGCAAAAAGAUGGUUUUCUCAUCUUCUGCAACAGUUUAUGGUCAACCUGAAAAAAUGCCGUGUGUUGAGGAUUUCGAAUUGAAAGCUAUGAAUCCUUAUGGAAGGACCAAGCUUUUCCUUGAAGAAAUUGCUCGAGAUAUUCAGAAGGCGAAGCCAGAUUGGAAAAUUAUAUGACUCAGUUACUUCAAUCCUGUUGGGGUUCAUGAGAGUGGUAGAAUUGGUGAAGAUCCAAAGGACAUCCCAAGCAAUCUCAUGCCAUAAAUACAGCAAGUAGCUUUCGGCAGAUUGCUUGAGCUUAAUGUGAAUGGUCAUGAUUAUCCCACGAAGGAUGGUAGUGCUGUCCGAGACUACAUCCAUGUCAUGGACUUAGCUGAUGGUCACAUUGCUGCUCUUCGGAAGCUUUUUACUAAAGAGGAUAUAGAUUAUCAGCGGCUUUCUCAUAGGUUGAAUACAUCAAAGCUUAUUGAAAAUAGUGAAUAUUUCCAAAAUAAACUGGUGGACACAAUACAUUUUAUGCAGAUUCUAAAUUUAAAAGACACUGUUGAAAAGGAUACCUUCUUCCGCAAGCUUCCAAAUUUAGCAAAGCAGCUUCCUCAUCCAAUUGUCCUGAAAAAGUUAGUUCCAUUAUUAGCUUCUACACUUGAAUUUGGUUCAGCUGCUGCCCUUGCUUUGGCUGCAUCUGGGUUGAUUGAUAUCUAUCCAUAUAAUGCAUAGAGCUCUAAUUGCUAGUUCGGCCAAUUUGAUGGCUCUAUAUGAACUAGCGGUUUUUGCGAUGCCCUAGGAAUAAGAUCUAUGUAUGUGCAAAGGAGAAUUUUUUUUUUUGAUAAGUAAUAAGAUUAUAUAAAUCCGAAAAAAUAAGCCACCCAAGUGUACAGGAAAUAUAUUGGUUUGACAAUUAGUACAUUGGACUUGAUGUAUUUGGUUGUA
Molecule: RNA transcript, 1787 nt
Organism: Quercus lobata
Lineage: Eukaryota; Viridiplantae; Streptophyta; Magnoliopsida; Fagales; Fagaceae
Gene name: bifunctional UDP-glucose 4-epimerase and UDP-xylose 4-epimerase 1-like
Exons: 9
Source: RefSeq, a predicted model, not a curated record